GAUGAACGCUGGCGGCGUGCCUAAUACAUGCAAGUCGAGCGAACGGACGAGAAGCUUGCUUCUCUGAUGUUAGCGGCGGACGGGUGAGUAACACGUGGAUAACCUACCUAUAAGACUGGGAUAACUUCGGGAAACCGGAGCUAAUACCGGAUAAUAUUUUGAACCGCAUGGUUCAAAAGUGAAAGACGGUCUUGCUGUCACUUAUAGAUGGAUCCGCGCUGCAUUAGCUCGUUGGUAAGGUAACGGCUUACCAAGGCAACGAGGCAUAGCCGGCCUGAGCGGGUGGUGGGCCACACUGGAACUGAGACACGGUCCAGACUCCUGCGGGAGGCAGCAGUAGGGAAUCUUCCGCAAUGGGCGAAAGCCUUACGGAGCAACGCCGCGUGAGUGAUGAAAGGCUUCGGAUCGUAAAACUCUGUUAUUAGGGAAGAACAUACGUGUAAGUAACUGUACACAUCUUGACGGUACCUAAUCAGAAAGCCACGGCUAACUACGUG
This 497-nucleotide ribosomal RNA is filed under the name uncultured bacterium. Its description in RNAcentral is "partial 16S ribosomal RNA". It matches the Rfam family "Bacterial small subunit ribosomal RNA", at positions 28 to 507 of the family's 1533-position model. The record is from RNAcentral.